RNAcentral lists this ribosomal RNA (494 nucleotides) under uncultured bacterium. Its description in RNAcentral is "partial 16S ribosomal RNA". It matches the Rfam family "Bacterial small subunit ribosomal RNA", at positions 28 to 507 of the family's 1533-position model. The record is from RNAcentral.
GACGAACGCUGGCGGCGUGCUUAACACAUGCAAGUCGAACGGUGAAGCGCCUUCCUUUUUGGUGGGUGUGGAUGAGUGGCGAACGGGUGAGUAACACGUGAGUAACCUGCCCCCUUCUUCUGGAUAACCGCAUGAAAGUGUGGCUAAUACGGGAUAUUCUGGGUCUGUCGCAUGAUGGGUCUGGGAAAGAUAUUGUUUCGGUGGGGGAUGGGCUCGCGGCCCAUCAGCUUGUUGGUGGGGUGAUGGCCUACCAAGGCGGUGACGGGUAGCCGGCCUGAGAGGGUGGACGGUCACACUGGGACUGAGACACGGCCCAGACUCCUACGGGAGGCAGCAGUGGGGAAUAUUGCACAAUGGACGCAAGCCUGAUGCAGCGACGCCGCGUGAGGGAUGGAGGCCUUCGGGUUGUGAACCUCUUUCGCCAGUGAAGCAGGCCUGCCUCGUUUGUGGGUGGGUUGACGGUAGCUGGAUAAGAAGCGCCGGCUAACUACGUG